UCCCUGGUGGUCCUGUGGCUAAGACACUGUACUCCCAAUACAGGGGCCUUGGUUUGAUCCCUGUCAGGGAA
RNAcentral lists this transfer RNA (71 nucleotides) under Bos taurus (domestic cattle). It matches the Rfam family "tRNA". From Rfam's summary of the family: Transfer RNA (tRNA) molecules are approximately 80 nucleotides in length. Their secondary structure includes four short double-helical elements and three loops (D, anti-codon, and T loops). RNAcentral also lists the same sequence under 4 other names. Lineage: Eukaryota; Metazoa; Chordata; Mammalia; Artiodactyla; Bovidae. The record is from Rfam by way of RNAcentral.